Hemisphaericaspora subhashii is the source of this 71-nucleotide non-coding RNA. NCBI's taxonomy places the organism in Eukaryota, Fungi, Ascomycota, Pichiomycetes, Serinales, Debaryomycetaceae. The record is from the annotation of a RefSeq genome assembly.
CACCGUAAGAGCUUGGGGUAAGCUACUUGAUUGCAACUCAACGUACCAGGGUUCAACUCCCUUUACGGUGU